This 50-nucleotide transfer RNA is filed under the name Alexandrium tamarense. Its description in RNAcentral is "partial Selenocysteine transfer RNA". Lineage: Eukaryota; Dinophyceae; Gonyaulacales; Pyrocystaceae. The record is from RNAcentral.
CUGCUCAGCGACAGCCGCUGCAAGCAGGCCCCUUGUACGGACACGACGAA